CGUUCUCUGCGGUGUUCGAGUAGUGGGCUGGGUAACCCCUUGAUCCUAAUUGAUUAUACCCGGGGAACAUAGUCGCUGGCGUAGGUGUGCAUGUCCGCCUCGUUGUGGAAAGCCUGAUACGCCCCUCUGCUCCCCACUUGAACCACUCGGUUCAAGGGCAAGGUCCGAGACGGCACAGGCGGAGGGCGC
Molecule: non-coding RNA, 189 nt
Filed under: Gammaproteobacteria bacterium
Lineage: Bacteria; Pseudomonadati; Pseudomonadota; Gammaproteobacteria
Description: 6S RNA
Rfam family: 6S / SsrS RNA
About the family: E. coli 6S RNA was the first non coding RNA to be sequenced, but its function was unknown until recently. It consists of 184 nucleotides that fold into an extended hairpin structure with a large single-stranded internal bulge.
Source: RNAcentral